CGUCAAAUCAUCAUGCCCCUUAUGACCUGGGCUACACACGUGCUACAAUGGGUGGUACAAAGGGCAGCGAACCCGCGAGGGGGAGCCAAUCCGAUAAAACCGUUCUCAGUUCGGAUUGUAGGCUGCAACUCGCCUACAUGAAGCUGGAAUCGCUAGUAAUCGCGGAUCAGCAUGCCGCGGUGAAUACGUUCCCGGGCCUU
Molecule: ribosomal RNA, 200 nt
Filed under: uncultured organism
Description: partial small subunit ribosomal RNA
Rfam family: Bacterial small subunit ribosomal RNA
Source: RNAcentral